GACGUAGGGCGCGAGCGUUGUCCGGAUUUAUUGGGUACGGUAAAGAGCUCGGUAGGCGGUUCAUUGCGAUCAAUCGGUGAAAUCCUGUGGCUCAACUACAGGCUUGCGGUUGAUGACGGGUGGGCUGAGUUCGGUAGGGGAGACGUGGAAUUCCUGGUGUAGCGGUGAAAUGCGCAGAUAUCAGGAGGAACACCGGAGCGGCAAGGCGGAUCUCUGGGCCGUAACUGA
This 228-nucleotide ribosomal RNA is filed under the name uncultured bacterium. Its description in RNAcentral is "partial 16S ribosomal RNA". It matches the Rfam family "Bacterial small subunit ribosomal RNA", at positions 524 to 743 of the family's 1533-position model. The record is from RNAcentral.